Molecule: non-coding RNA, 48 nt
Filed under: Schistosoma mattheei
Lineage: Eukaryota; Metazoa; Platyhelminthes; Trematoda; Strigeidida; Schistosomatidae
Source: RNAcentral
ACCCACCUGACGAGUCCCAAAUAGGACGGAACGCGUGUCAAACUGGAC